AUGAACUAAAUUGUAUUAAAUUAUAUUCUUUAAUUACAAGGCCAUAAUAACAUGAUACAAUAGAGAAUUUUUUUUCUACCAUCAUAUUACCUAAUUCUCAUGUAAUAACCAAAAAAAUAAAAAUAAAAGGUCUUGCAUGCUUCAAGAUCAAAUGCUUCAACAAUCUUAUGCGCCUACUCAAUUGUAAAUAAAAAUUCAUAUGCACUCAUUUAGUUCCACUCUUGGGGUGUCUUUCUUCUUGUUGUACAUUCCUCUGCACUGGUUUUUCUACACUGGAUAGCUGCUGCUUGCAGCAUGUGGGCUGCUGCUUUCUUAUUCUGCAUUGAUUUCCCUCUCGGCACUGGGUUUAGUUGGCACUGGUUUUAGUUUUGUUGUAGUUAGCUCCAGCUAUAUUUACUAUUUUGUUUCCCCUGACUGACCCACAGGGUCUAUACUUCUUUGUAUACAAACUAUGUCAAUAAUACAUCUAUCUUUACCUCAAAAUAAAAGGACAAUGGUAGUGCUACAUAGAAGCGUGAAAGUAAAUGAAACCAAUAAGCACAACAUCCUUCAAAGGGCAUGCACACCAGAAAAACAUAAUAGAUACUAAAGCUUAAACCACAAUUCAUAUACAAUACAGCAUAUAUAUUUAUACGAUUUUAGUAAAGAAGAAAAGAAAAUUAAGCCGGAGACAAGAGAAAGUCAUGAAGAUCUUGAAGGCACAUAAAAAUGAAACAAGGAAUCAAACAUAAAAAGCCCAUUUGUCAAAGUUCUCUAUUGCAUGUAUGAUUAUUCCUUAAAAAUAACAACUGCAAUUUAUGGACAAUAUUUCAGAUUAAAAUUUUGCAAUGAAUAACCUUAGUAAAAUUCAACGCCUUUUUUAAAAUCCGACGGAUUAGCCAAAAGACCGAUUGGGAAAAAAAAAAACAGAAUUUCAAGAGCUUGGUUUCAAUAGCCCCAACUAUCUUGACCCCUCUAUGAAGCAUUUCAACAAACACCUUCAGCAACAAUAACAGAGGACUCAAAGACCACAGCAACAGCAACAAUAAAGAAGCAAGGCAAUAACAAAGAUCAUAGCAAAGGAAAGAAAGAAAAAAAAAGGGUAGAACUUACCCUUUACAUACCCAAAUUUUAAGAUCUGCACUCAACUAGUCCAUGUGUUUACACUAAUUUAAGCACUCUCAAGAACACAAAUUUCACUUACUCAAUAACCCACACACAAAAUGACAUAUAUUUACACAAUAAAACAGAUUCAUACCAAAACCCCCAUUUUUCAAACCCAAACAAAAUCAUACAGCUCUAGUCAUCAAAAUAAUUAAAACUGGAACAAAAA
Quercus lobata is the source of this 1312-nucleotide long non-coding RNA. RefSeq lists it as uncharacterized. The transcript is spliced from 2 exons. NCBI's taxonomy places the organism in Eukaryota, Viridiplantae, Streptophyta, Magnoliopsida, Fagales, Fagaceae. The record is from RefSeq and is a predicted model, not a curated record.